This is a non-coding RNA of Monodelphis domestica (gray short-tailed opossum), 1195 nucleotides long. NCBI's taxonomy places the organism in Eukaryota, Metazoa, Chordata, Mammalia, Didelphimorphia, Didelphidae. The record is from RefSeq and is a predicted model, not a curated record.
GAACCUGCCAUUUAUUGAUAAUUGUUAUGGGACUGUGAUUAAUGUUUGUGUCUGAUUCUAGGAAAUGGGAUCAAAAAGGAGCACUGAGAUAACCUGAAUAAUGCCAAAAGAGUUCACAGGUCUACAAAUCAAAAACCAAUUCAGUAUUCAGAUAAGAUUAGCACUUCUGGCAUGAGGACUUCCUGAGCUCUCUUCAGCAAACCUGAGUAUAUUCUUUCUGGAGAAAUGAAAGAGAGGAUUUCAAAGCAUUCCUGAGGAAAUGACCAAACCUAAGUAGAAAAUCUUAAAUCUACACACAAGAUCCAAGAGAAGAUAUAAAAGGUAUCACCUCACACCUAUCAGAUUGGCUAACAUGACAACAAAGGAAAGUAAUGAAUGCUAGAACAGAUGUGGUAAAGUUGGGACAUUAAUGCACUGCUGGUAGGGUUGUGAAUUGAUCCAACCAUUCUGGAGGACAAUUUGGAACUGUACCCAAGGGGAGCUAAAAGACUGUCUGCCCUUUGAUCCAGCCAUAGCACUGCUCGGUUUAUACUCCAAAGAGAUAAUAAUGAAAAAGACCUCUACAAGAAUAUUCAUAGCUACGCUCUUUGUGGUGGCAAAAAACUGCAAAAUGAGGAGAUGCCCUCCAAUUGGAGAAUGGCUGAACAAAUUAUGGUAUAUGUUGGUGAUGGAAUACUAUUGUACUCAAAGAAAUAAUGAACUGGAGGAAUUCCAUGUGAACUGGAAUGACCUCCAGGAGUUUAUGCAGGGUGAGAGGAGCAGAACCAGGAGAACAUUGUACACAGAGACCUAUGCACUGUGGUACAAUCGAAUGUAAUGGACUUCUCCAUUAGUGGUGAUGCAUCGAUCCUGAACAACCCAGAGAGAUCUACAAGAAAGAACACUAUCCUCAUACAGAGGAAAAACUGUAGAAGCAGAAACACCAAAGGAAAACAACUGCUUGAUUACAUGGGUUGAGGGGAUAUGAUUGGGGAUGUAGACUAAAUGAUCACCCUAGUGCAAACAUCAACAACAUAGAAAGAGGUUCUGAUCAAGGACACAUGUAAAACUCAGUAGAAUUGAGCAUCGGCUAUGGGGUGGGGUGGGGGGAAUGGAGGGAGGGAAAUAAUAUGAUUUUUGUAACCAAGGAAUAAUGUUCUAUAUUGACUAGAUAAAAUUUUCAAAAAAAACAGUUUGGAUGUUUGCUUAUUUGUCA